CAGGAAGGUCCCUGUUGGAUUGUUGCAAGUAUUGAAAAUUUAGAACUUGAAAAAGGGUGGUCGUACGUUGGCUGUAAGAAGUGUCAAAAGAAGGUGGAUAAAUCGGGAAACAUUUAUCUUUGCCCAAACCAAAAAUGUAAAAAUGAAGAUUACUCAGCGGUGACUAGGUACAUGCUUCAGGUUAGAAUACUGGAUCUGUUUCGCUGUUGCUCUGGGACCGCGAAGCCAUCUUUCUUAUAGGCAAGUCCGCAAAUGAAUUGAAGGAAGGAUUACCUGAGAAUACUGGUGCUGUUGAUAAGUGUUCCUAUCCAAUGGACUUGAACAAUGUUCUUGAGAGGAAAUUCAUGUUUAAGGUUAUUAUCAAAAGGUCGAACAUUCAAUUGCAA
Nicotiana tabacum (common tobacco) is the source of this 386-nucleotide non-coding RNA. The record is from RefSeq and is a predicted model, not a curated record. Lineage: Eukaryota; Viridiplantae; Streptophyta; Magnoliopsida; Solanales; Solanaceae.